Molecule: ribosomal RNA, 1261 nt
Filed under: Halorubrum sp.
Lineage: Archaea; Methanobacteriati; Methanobacteriota; Halobacteria; Halobacteriales; Haloferacaceae
Description: bacterial SSU rRNA
Rfam family: Archaeal small subunit ribosomal RNA
Source: RNAcentral
UGGCCAAACUACCCUUCGGAACACAAUACCCUCGGGAAACUGAGGCUAAUAGUGUAUACCACACUCACUCUGGAAUGACAAGUGUGCCAAACGCUCCGGCGCCGAAGGAUGUGGCUGCGGCCGAUUAGGUAGACGGUGGGGUAACGGCCCACCGUGCCGAUAAUCGGUACGGGUGGUGAGAGCCAGAACCCGGAGACGGAAUCUGAGACAAGAUUCCGGGCCCUACGGGGCGCAGCAGGCGCGAAACCUUUACACUGCACGACAGUGCGAUAAGGGGAUCCCAAGUGCGCAGGCAUAGAGCCUGCGCUUUUGUACACCCUAGGGAGGUGCACGAAUAAGGGCUGGGCAAGACCGGUGCCAGCCGCCGCGGUAAUACCGGCAGCCCAAGUGAUGGCCGAUCUUAUUGGGCCUAAAGCGUCCGUAGCUGGCCGCGCAAGUCCAUCGGGAAAUCCACCUGCUCAACAGGUGGACGUCCGGUGGAAACUGCACGGCUUGGGACCGGAAGGCGCGACGGGUACGUCCGGGGUAGGAGUGAAAUCCCGUAAUCCUGGACGGACCGCCGAUGGCGAAAGCACGUCGCGAAAACGGAUCCGACAGUGAGGGACGAAAGCUAGGGUCUCGAACCGGAUUAGAUACCCGGGUAGUCCUAGCCGUAACAAUGCCUGCUAGGUGUGGCUCCCACUACGAGUGGGUGCUGUGCCGUAGGGAAGCCGCUAAGCAGGCCGCCUGGGAAGUACGUCCGCAAGGAUGAAACUUAAAGGAAUUGGCGGGGGAGCACUACAACCGGAGGAGCCUGCGGUUUAAUUGGACUCAACGCCGGACAUCUCACCAGCAUCGACUGUGGUAAUGACGGUCAGGUUGAUGACCUCGCCACGAGCCACAGAGAGGAGGUGCAUGGCCGCCGUCAGCUCGUACCGUGAGGCGUCCUGUUAAGUCAGGCAACGAGCGAGACCCGCAUCCGUACUUGCCAGCAGCACUGCGAAGUGGCUGGGGACAGUACGGAGACUGCCGUGGCCAACACGGAGGAAGGAACGGGCAACGGUAGGUCAGUAUGCCCCGAAUGUGCUGGGCAACACGCGGGCUACAAUGGUCGAGACAAAGGGUUCCUACUCCGAAAGGAGACGGUAAUCUCAGAAACUCGAUCGUAGUUCGGAUUGUGGGCUGCAACUCGCCCACAUGAAGCUGGAUUCGGUAGUAAUCGCGUGUCACAAGCGCGCGGUGAAUACGUCCCUGCUCCUUGCACACACCGCCCGUCAAAGCA